This 346-nucleotide ribosomal RNA is filed under the name Dermacentor nuttalli. Its description in RNAcentral is "partial small subunit ribosomal RNA". The stretch from base 224 to 346 matches the Rfam family "Archaeal large subunit ribosomal RNA", at positions 2542 to 2665 of the family's 2987-position model. Lineage: Eukaryota; Metazoa; Arthropoda; Arachnida; Ixodida; Ixodidae. The record is from RNAcentral.
AAAGUUUUUUUAAAUUUAAUAAUUGAAGUUAUUUUAAUUUGUGAAGAAACAAUUAUAUAAAUUAAAGACAAGAAGACCCUAAGAAUUUAAGAAUUUUUAUUAAUAUAUUAUAUGUAUAUAUAUAUAAAUAAAAUUCUUAGUUGGGGCAACUAAAAAAUAUAUUAAACUUUUUUUUUAAAAAAAUGACCUAUUAUUAAUGAUAAUAUGAAAAAAAUACUCUAGGGAUAACAGCGUAAUAAUUUUUGAUAGAUCUUAUAGACAAAAUAGUUUGCGACCUCGAUGUUGGAUUAGGAUACUUUUUUAAUGAAGAUGUUAAAAAAAGAAGUUUGUUCAACUUUUAAAUUCC